AUUGAACGCUGGCGGGAUGCUUAACACAUGCAAGUCGAACGGCAGCGCGGUCUUCGCUCGGGCUGCGAGUGGCGAACGGGUGGGUAAUGUAUCAGAACAUGCGCAUUAGCUUUUGAUCACUACGUAACGGCGUAGCUAAUACCGCAAUCCCCCUACGGGCGUACGCAGGAGAGCGUAGGACCUUGCGCUCUUGGAGGGGCCGAUGUCGGAUUAGCUAGUUGGCGAGGUAAAGGCUCACCAAGGCGACGAUCCGUAGCUGGUUUGAGAGGACGAUCAGCCACACUGGGACUGAGACACGGCCCAGACUCCUACGGGAGGCAGCAGUGGGGAAUAUUGGACAAUGGGGGCAAGCCUGAUCCAGCCAUACCGCGUGUGUGAUGAAGGCCUUCGGGUUGUAAAGCACUUUUGGCAGGAAAGAAACGCCGCGGGCUAAUACCCCGCGGAACUGACGGUACCCGCAGAAUAAGCACCGGCUAACUACGUG
Molecule: ribosomal RNA, 484 nt
Filed under: uncultured bacterium
Lineage: Bacteria
Description: partial 16S ribosomal RNA
Rfam family: Bacterial small subunit ribosomal RNA
Source: RNAcentral